AUGCCUCGUUCGCGACCUCCAG
RNAcentral lists this ribosomal RNA (22 nucleotides) under Eclipta prostrata. RNAcentral's name for it is "partial 26S ribosomal RNA". Lineage: Eukaryota; Viridiplantae; Streptophyta; Magnoliopsida; Asterales; Asteraceae. The record is from RNAcentral.